AGUGAACGCUGGCGGUAGGCCUAACACAUGCAAGUCGAACGGCAGCACAUUAAGAGCUUGCUCUUACGGGUGGCGAGUGGCUGACGGGUGAGCAAUACAUCGGAAUCUACUUUUUCUUGGUUGAUAACGUAGGAAAACUUACGCUACUACCGCAUAUGCCCUACGGGUGAAAGCAGGCGAACUUCGGACCUGUCGCGAUUGAAUGAGCCUAUGUCGGAUUAGCUAGUUGGCGGGGUAAAGGCCCACCAAGGCGACGAUCCGUCACUGGUCUGAAAGGAUGUUCAGACAAACUGGAACUGAGAAGCGGUCGAGACUCCUACGAGAGGCAGCAGUGGGGAAUAUUGGAGAAUGGGAGCAAGCCUGAUCCAGGCAUACCGCGUGAGUGAAGAAGGCCUUCGGGUUGUAAAGCCCUUUUGUUGGGAAAGAAAAGAAGCAGGUUAAUACCCCGCUGUUAUGACGGUACCCAAAGAAUAAGCACCGGCUAACUUCGUG
Molecule: ribosomal RNA, 492 nt
Filed under: uncultured bacterium
Lineage: Bacteria
Description: partial 16S ribosomal RNA
Rfam family: Bacterial small subunit ribosomal RNA
Source: RNAcentral